Long non-coding RNA from Drosophila ananassae, 182 nucleotides. RefSeq lists it as uncharacterized. Lineage: Eukaryota; Metazoa; Arthropoda; Insecta; Diptera; Drosophilidae. The record is from RefSeq and is a predicted model, not a curated record. The transcript is spliced from 2 exons.
CGUCAUUUGGGGCAGACAUUAUCGAAGAAGGAGGUUUUAAUCCGACAUUUAAGAUAGAAUCGAGCGGUUUAAUAUCAUUUCCAAAUAAUUUCUGUAAUUUUGUCUCAUCAAAAGACGAACUUAUCAACAAUGUAUUUCCAAAUAUUAUUUCUAACUACAAAAAUAAUGAAUGGUUGAGUGAG